AAUAAUUCUAUAAUUGACAUCCAAAUCAACAUCUAUAAUUUAAUCAUUACAGCCAAACAAUUCAAGUAAACAAACAUUUGUACAAUUUGGUAUACAAUCUUUCCCAUAAAAAAUAAACACCAAACCCAGUUUCAGAAAAUAUUCCCACUUUUAAAUGAAUCUUAAUGUCUUCAACAUCGACCAAGCAAACUCCAACAAACUGCCGAUCGUAUGGGCAUGCUUAUGUUUAAGUUCCAGUUGCUGCAAGAUGAACUGAAGCAAUUUUGAUCCCUGCGAGGCAAUCUUUGAGUACAAGCACUACACUAUUGGAAAUUUUGGGAACAAAAAUGCAUACUAGAGAAUACACAUGAACUCAAAACAAUGUUAUUGCAAGGACUAACAUUGCAAAGAAAAUUCAUCAUCCAAAAUCAGCCAAAUUAACCAAUUUAUUAUUUACCAAAGAGAAGUCAAUCAAUUUGAUUUGUCAGUGAUAAAUUCAUCAUUCAAAAUCAGCCAAAUUAACCUCCAACUUCGAUUUUAAAGAACCCAAAUUUUAGUUAGGUCAAAGCCCAAGGCAUUGAGAGAUCAAUUUCCAUUUUUAACUAUGCAUAAUAAAUGGAAAAGCCAAUAAAUCAAGGAAUAAUAAGGAGCAACGAAUUUAAUUUUCAAAAUCAAACAAGUUAUUUUCGUCUUGGGCACCAAGCAGGGAGUAGCUAGCUCCUCAAACUUUCUUCUUAGUUUCUUUCGGCUGGGUUCUGUCUUCCAAUGGCUUUCAGAGCUGCUCUGCUUCUGUUGGCCAAUUUGCUUUUAGUCUCUACUAAGUGUUUUAUCUAACAAUGAGGAGGAAUAUCUGCUGGAAAAGGAUGCUACUUACCCCAAAACCCCAGUACCUGCACCAGCUCCUCCUAAGGCUCCAGUUAAGCCAAUCACUCCACCACCAGUAGUGAAGCCACCCACCACGUAUCCACCACCAGUGAAGCCACCCACAACCACUCCCCCAGUAGUGAAGCUGCCAACAGUUGCACCAGCACCACCAGUGAAGCCACCAACAGUUAUGCCAACCCCACCACUCAAGCCACCCCCCACUUAUCCACCACCAGUGAAGCCACCCACAACCACUCCCCCACCAGUGAGCCCACCCAAAACAGCUCCUGCCCCCCAAGUUCCCUCACCAGCAUCUUCACCAAUGCCUAUUGUGAGGUCAAACAAAGAUUGCAUCCCACUAUGUGCAGCAAGAUGCAAGGCACAUUCAAGGCCAAACAUUUUUGGAAGAGCUUGCACUACAUGCUGUGUUAGGUGCAAAUGUGUUCCACCGGGAACUUAUGGCAACAGAGAGAAGUGUGGCAAGUGCUACACUGGGGGCAAUAAACCCAAGUGCCCCUAAGUUAUAAGUAUUAGCAUCUGUUGAAAUUUUAUGUUAGCUUAAGUUGACCUGCAAUAAGUGUUAAAGAGUAAAUGUUUUUCUAGUGACUUUCUGUGUCACUGUAAGAUUGUGCAUGUAGUGUGUUAAGCCAUGGCUGAUCUACUUCUGUUAGUUUCUUGCUAAAAUUUCCCUUGUUAAUCCUGGACAUUCAUAUAUAAAGUAGUGUAUUUUCAGUUUCAAAAAAGAAGAAGAAGUUAUUUUCGUCUUUACCUUCUUCACCAGAGCAACGAUGAGCGGUGGAUUUCUUCAAAACUAAAAUGAUUUUGGGAAAUUGAAUAGCCAAGUUUCAACAUUACCUUCUAGAAAACUUCCAAAUAAUUCGGGAGUUUCUUGUCAUUGUGAUUAAUUAGAGAACUUUUCCCUUUUUCUAUGCAAAAAGCAAGAUAGAAUCAACAAUAAAAGAACACAAAUGCAAAAUAAAGAUUUGUUACCGGGGCCAAUAAAGAGUAUGCAAGAGGGCACAACCCAUUAACACCAAUGUAACUUGGAGGUGAAGAAGGAAAUGGAGUAAAUUGACCACCCACUUCAAGCUCCCCAGUCACCCUUCCCACGGUUGCACCAGACCUC
RNAcentral lists this long non-coding RNA (1969 nucleotides) under Citrus x clementina. Its description in RNAcentral is "Citrus clementina (C. clementina) long non-coding RNA (CCLE_LNC002756)". Lineage: Eukaryota; Viridiplantae; Streptophyta; Magnoliopsida; Sapindales; Rutaceae. The record is from RNAcentral.